GAGGGUAUAGCUCAAGUGGUAGAGUGCUGGCUUAGCAUACACAAGGUCCUGGGUUCAAUCCCCAGUACCUCCU
Transfer RNA from Camelus ferus (Wild Bactrian camel), 73 nucleotides. It matches the Rfam family "tRNA". From Rfam's summary of the family: Transfer RNA (tRNA) molecules are approximately 80 nucleotides in length. Their secondary structure includes four short double-helical elements and three loops (D, anti-codon, and T loops). The record is from Rfam. Lineage: Eukaryota; Metazoa; Chordata; Mammalia; Artiodactyla; Camelidae.